AGAGCAGAGGGAAGAGGUUGCACAAGGUGGACGAGAGUUAUAAUCAUUGGGGUCGAGGUCCGCCUGCCAGCCACCUUUGAACGAGCCCACGAAAGCGACGAGUCGCUUGAAGAGAUCGAGGCUCUUCAUAUUUCGCCAAGGGAUAUAAGAGUGCGAAAGAGGGAUCAAGGUGUUGCGACGAGGAUGCAUUUAAUGGCUGGGCGAAACGAUCUUUUGGUAGCAGUUGGCUUGGUUUUAUUCAAGACGGAGGCAAGUUUCUGCUAUUCUUAAUCGAAGCGAUAAAUUAUCACAUAGAAAGUAAGAAC
RNAcentral lists this unclassified non-coding RNA (305 nucleotides) under Bombus terrestris (buff-tailed bumblebee). Its description in RNAcentral is "misc RNA ENSBTSG00005033511.1". Lineage: Eukaryota; Metazoa; Arthropoda; Insecta; Hymenoptera; Apidae. The record is from RNAcentral.